CACAGAGAGUGUGCAGGGUGGUCCUUGUCCCUGCCCAAGCUGCAAGAGGCUCUGCGAAGGUCCCUCCUGCCCCUGUCCACCUUGCACAGUCCUAGCCGGGGGAGGAGGGGAGAAAUCUGGCGUGCCAGGAGCUGGCAACUGCCCAGCCCUUCCUGGAUGUGGACUCCCCAGGGCUGAAGCUGGGAUCCCGGCCAGCCAGGUGACCCCCACGCUCUGGAUGUCUCUGCUCUGUUCCUUCCCCGAGCCCCUGCCCCGGCUCCCCGCCAAAGCAACCCUGCCCACUCAGGCUUCAUCCUGCACAAUAAACUCCGGAAGCAAGUCAGU
RNAcentral lists this long non-coding RNA (324 nucleotides) under Homo sapiens (human). RNAcentral describes it as "non-protein coding lnc-PTGDS-1:2". Lineage: Eukaryota; Metazoa; Chordata; Mammalia; Primates; Hominidae. The record is from RNAcentral.